UACGUAGGUGGCAAGCGUUGUCCGGAUUUACUGGGCGUAAAGAGCGCGCAGGCGGCUGUUCAAGUCGCGUGUGAAAGCCCCCGGCUCAACUGGGGAGGGUCACGCGAUACUGAUCGACUCGAAGGCAGGAGAGGGUAGUGGAAUUCCCGGUGUAGUGGUGAAAUGCGUAGAUAUCGGGAGGAACACCAGUGACGAAGGCGACUACCUGGCCUGUUCUUGACGCUGAGGCGCGAAAGCUAGGGGAGCAAACGGG
Molecule: ribosomal RNA, 253 nt
Filed under: uncultured bacterium
Lineage: Bacteria
Description: partial 16S ribosomal RNA
Rfam family: Bacterial small subunit ribosomal RNA
Source: RNAcentral